GACUCUCGGCAACGGAUAUCUCGGCUCUCGCAUCGAUGAAGAACGUAGCGAAAUGCGAUACUUGGUGUGAAUUGCAGAAUCCCGUGAACCAUCGAGUCUUUGAACGCAAGUUGCGCCCGAGGCCACUAGGCCGAGGGCACGUCUGCCUGGGUGUCACGCAGCGUCGCCAACGCCCGGAU
RNAcentral lists this ribosomal RNA (179 nucleotides) under Blanchetiodendron blanchetii. RNAcentral describes it as "5.8S ribosomal RNA". The stretch from base 1 to 156 matches the Rfam family "5.8S ribosomal RNA". Rfam says of the family: 5.8S ribosomal RNA (5.8S rRNA) is a component of the large subunit of the eukaryotic ribosome. It is transcribed by RNA polymerase I as part of the 45S precursor that also contains 18S and 28S rRNA. The record is from RNAcentral. Lineage: Eukaryota; Viridiplantae; Streptophyta; Magnoliopsida; Fabales; Fabaceae.